RNAcentral lists this ribosomal RNA (254 nucleotides) under uncultured bacterium. Its description in RNAcentral is "partial 16S ribosomal RNA". It matches the Rfam family "Bacterial small subunit ribosomal RNA", at positions 524 to 776 of the family's 1533-position model. The record is from RNAcentral.
CACGUAGGGGGCAAGCGUUGUCCGGAUUUAUUGGGCGUAAAGAGCUCGUAGGCGGUUCGGUAAGUCGGGUGUGAAACCUCCAGGCUCAACCUGGAGAUGCCACCUGAUACUGCUGUGACUCGAGUCCGGUAGGGGAGCGUGGAAUUCCUGGUGUAGCGGUGAAAUGCGCAGAUAUCAGGAGGAACACCAGCGGCGAAGGCGGCGCUCUGGGCCGGAACUGACGCUGAGGAGCGAAAGCGUGGGGAGCGAACAGG